UUUUUUUUUGGGUAUUCCAGCUCGAGCAGCACCUAAAGUAGCCAACGGUAAAGCAGCCAGUAGCAGCAGCAGCAGCAGCAGCAGCAGCAGUAGCAGUGAUGACUCAGAGGAGGAAAAGGCAGCAG
Molecule: microRNA precursor, 125 nt
Filed under: Chlorocebus sabaeus (green monkey)
Lineage: Eukaryota; Metazoa; Chordata; Mammalia; Primates; Cercopithecidae
Description: miRNA (ENSCSAG00000025197.1)
Source: RNAcentral